This 315-nucleotide unclassified non-coding RNA is filed under the name uncultured Bartonella sp. Its description in RNAcentral is "partial 16S-23S ribosomal RNA intergenic spacer". Lineage: Bacteria; Pseudomonadati; Pseudomonadota; Alphaproteobacteria; Hyphomicrobiales; Bartonellaceae. The record is from RNAcentral.
UUGAUAAGCGUGAGGUCGGAGGUUCAAGUCCUCCCAGGCCCACCAAUUUAUGCUCGUUUUUUGCUUAUCCAAGAGUAUAAAGCUUAAGCGUAUUAAAGCCUCUUCAAUCUUUGUUUAUUUUUAAAGAUUUUAUUUUAUCAUUCAGAGAUUGUUUGUUAAAUUUAUCCCAUUAAGCUUCCAAAAAGGCUUUGUCCCUUCAGUGGUACAGAUAAAUUUACAUGAUACAAAUCAAAACAGGACAGGUAAUUCAAGUUGAUGAAUUUGGUUAUGGUUGAUUUGAGAGAGCAUUAUUUAGGGGCCGUAGCUCAGCUGGGA